GGCGACGUGGCCAAGUGGCAAGGCAAAGCUCUGCAAAAGCUUGAUCACCGGUUCGAAUCCGGUCGUCGCCU
This 71-nucleotide transfer RNA is filed under the name Anaerolinea sp. Its description in RNAcentral is "tRNA-Cys". It matches the Rfam family "tRNA". From Rfam's summary of the family: Transfer RNA (tRNA) molecules are approximately 80 nucleotides in length. Lineage: Bacteria; Bacillati; Chloroflexota; Anaerolineae; Anaerolineales; Anaerolineaceae. RNAcentral also lists the same sequence under 2 other names. The record is from RNAcentral.